CUAAGAGAUUGGGAUUUGGUAGGA
RNAcentral lists this microRNA (24 nucleotides) under Gossypium raimondii (Peruvian cotton). Its description in RNAcentral is "gra-miR8730". Lineage: Eukaryota; Viridiplantae; Streptophyta; Magnoliopsida; Malvales; Malvaceae. The record is from miRBase by way of RNAcentral.